RNAcentral lists this ribosomal RNA (1022 nucleotides) under Pratylenchus thornei. RNAcentral's name for it is "eukaryotic LSU rRNA". The stretch from base 1 to 194 matches the Rfam family "Eukaryotic small subunit ribosomal RNA", at positions 1641 to 1831 of the family's 1831-position model. Lineage: Eukaryota; Metazoa; Nematoda; Chromadorea; Rhabditida; Pratylenchidae. The record is from RNAcentral.
UUGAUUACGUCCCUGCCCUUUGUACACACCGCCCGUCGCUGCCCGGGACUGAGCCAUUUCGAGAAACUUGGGGACUGCUGGCUUGGUCGGGCUUCGGCUCGCCUCGUUGGUGGAAACCAAUUUAAUCGCAGUGGCUUGAACCGGGCAAAAGUCGUAACAAGGUAGCUGUAGGUGAACCUGCUGCUGGAUCAUUACACUAUGACAUAAUGGUCACACUACCUUUUCGACAAGCCCACAUGUGCUCUAUGGCUGCAAAAGAGCUCUGGGGCAACGCAACCAUUGCUACUAGUCUGUGUGUGCUGUGGUAGCGAAAACGGCUAACGCUGGUGUCUGUGUGUCGCUGAGCAGUUGUUGCCUGCUCGUCCGUGGCUGUGAUGAGGCGACACGGUAGAGCUGCUUUCCCUAUAUGGCUGGGGGAUUGCGGCCUAAGACUUAAUGAGCCCAUUGACUGGGGACGCCAGCAACCCUUUUUUCUUUCAAUAUUUUUUUUGCAAAUGAAAACGAAAAAUUCUAGCCUUAUCGGUGGAUCACUCGGCUCGUGGUUCGAUGAAGAACGCAGCUAACUGCGAUAGUUAGUGUGAACUGCAGAAACUUUGAACACAAAACUUUCGAAUGCACAUUGCGCCAUUGGAUCCACGUCCUUUGGCUCGGCUGGUUCAGGGUCGUAAACCAAACAAACACUGUGUCUGUGUGUGUUUCCCUCCACUGCUAUAGUGGAAUUGCUAGUGAAUGUCAACGGGCUAUCAGUUGAAUUCGCAUACAAACAUGAAAUUGAUGGUGUUGUUGGGCAGUGCUAAUAUGGCUGAUAAAAGCGUAUGAAUAUUUGGCUCGUUCAACGUUUAGCCUGACCCAACAGUGCCAUGGUUGUGUGUGCAAUUGCUCUAUGACUGUAAAAGAGCAGUAGCAGGCGACGCAUCAAUAUUUCGACCUGAACUCAGGCGAGAGUACCCGCUGAACUUAAGCAUAUCAGUAAGCGGAGGAAAAGAAACUAACGAGGAUUCCCUUAGUAACGGCGAGUGAAA